GCUGCAUGGCUGUCGUCAGCUCGUGUCGUGAGAUGUUGGGUUAAGUCCCGCAACGAGCGNAACCCUCGCCUCCAGUUGCCAUCAUUCAGUUGGGCACUCUGGAGGGACUGCCGGUGAUAAGCCGAGAGGAAGGUGGGGAUGACGUCAAGUCCUCAUGGCCCUUACGGGCUGGGCUACACACGUGCUACAAUGGCGGUGACAGUGGGCAGCGACCUCGCGAGGGGGAGCUAAUCCCAAAAAGCCGUCUCAGUUCGGAUUGUACUCUGCAACUCGAGUGCAUGAAGUUGGAAUCGCUAGUAAUCGUGGAUCAGCAUGCCACGGUGAAUACGUUCCCGGGCCUUGUACACACCGCCCGUCACACCAUGGGAGUUGGGUUUACCCGAAGACGGUGCGCUAACCCGCAAGGGAGGCAGCCGGCCACGGUAGGCUCAGCGACUGGGGUGAAGUCGUAACAAGGUAGCCGUAGGGGAACCUGCGGCU
Molecule: ribosomal RNA, 480 nt
Filed under: uncultured Kaistia sp.
Lineage: Bacteria; Pseudomonadati; Pseudomonadota; Alphaproteobacteria; Hyphomicrobiales; Kaistiaceae
Description: bacterial SSU rRNA
Rfam family: Bacterial small subunit ribosomal RNA
Source: RNAcentral